AACCUGCCCUUCAGAGGGGGACAACAGUUGGAAACGACUGCUAAUACCGCAUACGAUCUAAACUCGGCAUCGAGGAUGGAUGAAAGGUGGCCUCUAUUUAUAAGCUAUCACUGAAGGAGGGGAUUGCGUCUGAUUAGCUAGUUGGAGGGGUAACGGCCCACCAAGGCAAUGAUCAGUAGCCGGUCUGAGAGGAUGAACGGCCACAUUGGGACUGAGACACGGCCCAGACUCCUACGGGAGGCAGCAUG
This 248-nucleotide ribosomal RNA is filed under the name uncultured bacterium. RNAcentral's name for it is "partial 16S ribosomal RNA". It matches the Rfam family "Bacterial small subunit ribosomal RNA", at positions 123 to 353 of the family's 1533-position model. The record is from RNAcentral.